GACGAACGCUGGCGGCGUGCCUAAUACAUGCAAGUUGAGCGAUGAAGAUUGGUGCUUGCACCAAUUUGAAGAGCAGCGAACGGGUGAGUAACGCGUGGGGAAUCUGCCUUUGAGCGGGGGACAACAUUUGGAAACGAAUGCUAAUACCGCAUAACAACUUUAAACAUAAGUUUUAAGUUUGAAAGAUGCAAUUGCAUCACUCAAAGAUGAUCCCGCGUUGUAUUAGCUAGUUGGUGAGGUAAAGGCUCACCAAGGCGAUGAUACAUAGCCGACCUGAGAGGGGGAUCGGCCACAUUGGGACUGAGACACGGCCCAAACUCCUACGGGAGGCAGCAGUAGGGAAUCUUCGGCAAUGGACGAAGGUCUGACCGAGCAACGCCGCGUGAGUGAAGAAGGUUUUCGGAUCGUAAAACUCUGUUGGUAGAGAAGAACGUUGGUGAGAGUGGAAAGCUCAUCAAGUGACGGUAACUACCCAGAAAGGGACGGCUAACUACGUG
This 497-nucleotide ribosomal RNA is filed under the name uncultured bacterium. RNAcentral describes it as "partial 16S ribosomal RNA". It matches the Rfam family "Bacterial small subunit ribosomal RNA", at positions 28 to 507 of the family's 1533-position model. The record is from RNAcentral.